ACCCAGCUGGCUCAGGCAUAAGAGUGUGUGACUCUUGAUCUCAGGGUUGUGAGUUCAAGCCCCAUGUUGGGUA
Molecule: transfer RNA, 73 nt
Filed under: Canis lupus familiaris (dog)
Lineage: Eukaryota; Metazoa; Chordata; Mammalia; Carnivora; Canidae
Also listed under: 1 other name
Rfam family: tRNA
About the family: Transfer RNA (tRNA) molecules are approximately 80 nucleotides in length. Their secondary structure includes four short double-helical elements and three loops (D, anti-codon, and T loops). Further hydrogen bonds mediate the characteristic L-shaped molecular structure. tRNAs have two regions of fundamental functional importance: the anti-codon, which is responsible for specific mRNA codon recognition, and the 3' end, to which the tRNAs corresponding amino acid is attached (by aminoacyl-tRNA synthetases). tRNAs cope with the degeneracy of the genetic code in two manners: having more than one tRNA (with a specific anti-codon) for a particular amino acid; and 'wobble' base-pairing, i.e. permitting non-standard base-pairing at the 3rd anti-codon position.
Source: Rfam by way of RNAcentral